RNAcentral lists this long non-coding RNA (232 nucleotides) under Setaria viridis. Its description in RNAcentral is "long non-coding RNA (SVIR_LNC002817)". The record is from RNAcentral. Lineage: Eukaryota; Viridiplantae; Streptophyta; Magnoliopsida; Poales; Poaceae.
GGCAGUAAAUGAAGGGUAGGGGUCUCCCAACACCCUUUAGUCCACUUUUGUGGACUUUUGUGGACUAAAGGACUAAAGGCUUGAGUCCUACUUUUAGUCCAAGUGUUUGGGUGUUUAGUCCCACUAAAUUGCACAUUUUAGUCCAUGGUGGGAACCAAACACCCCCUUAAUCCACAAAACUGGAUUAAAGUGGACUAAAGGGUGUUGGGGACACCCUACCCCUCAUUUACUG